UAGGAAUAAAUAUGUCCCCAAAGAAAAAUGCUUUUUUUGCUUUUGUGACUGAAUAUCAAAAGGAACAAAUGAUCGAUCAAAACAUAUCUUUCAGUUUUCAACAAUUAGCUGAUAAGUUAACACCAAUAUGGAAUUCAAUGUCUGAUAAUGAAAAGAAUAAGUACAAAAUAUUUGCUGAUAAAUUAAAUUCUAAACGGAAGGAAAAAAAAAACCCAGAACAGAUUAUUACUCUUCACAAUAAUAGUUCAGAUUAUUGGAAAAUGAAAGAAUAUUUAGAAAAUAUGUUUGAAUCAAUAUCUGAAGAAGAAUUAUUAAAUACAAAGUUCAUUUUAUUACAUGUCAAUUGUCAUGCUCAUGAAGCAGAAAAAUAUUAUUUUCCAGCUGAAAUAGCAGCAUUAAAAUUUAAUUUAUCUAAAGGAGUUUUGCAUACAUAUCAUCAAAUUGUUGGCCUUGCCAACAAUUAUCCUAGAGGUUUUGCUGGUGGCAUGCGGGAGUAUUCAGACAAAUUUCAUCAAAUAGAUUGUUGGGAUAAAAAUCACCCUGAAAACUAUAAGAAAAUAUUGUCAGAUUUUAUAAACUUUUUAAAAGAUGAAGAAAUUUCCGAUUUAAAUGAUAGUACAUUAGAUUUACCUUGCAUGUUCACUGUAGAGACAGAAAUAGGUCUAGAUAUGAUGAAAACUAAAAAUAGUUUGGAAAGACUUUACCAAACAGUUUUUCCAGAACAUGAUCUGUUGAAUUACAAAUCAAUUUUCAAGAUUGGAAGUGUUGAGCGAUUAUUAUUUGAGAUAACAAAGAAAACAAAAAUGAAUUUGGAUAGUCGAAGUAUAAUAACAGGAUUGACAACCCAUGAUAUUUUAAAAACUGUACCACGAAGGAAGAAAUAUUGCAUUUCAAUGUUCAAAGGCUCGAGUUCUUCAAUGGAUGUCAAAUAUUUGCAAAUAUGUCGGUGAAUUUAUUGGUUUACAACUUAUUCCAGGAAGACACAUUGCCGUUCAGUUGAAAGAUGGAUCGAGAAUGAUUGUUGAAAAUGAAGAUACCCCUCUUUCUAAAGCUGAUCUAAGAAUGAAUAGUAUUAGAAGUUUAUCUGAUCAAAUUAAUCCAAUGA
This 1105-nucleotide unclassified non-coding RNA is filed under the name Sipha flava (yellow sugarcane aphid). RNAcentral's name for it is "protein maelstrom 2-like, transcript variant X1". Lineage: Eukaryota; Metazoa; Arthropoda; Insecta; Hemiptera; Aphididae. The record is from RNAcentral.